RNAcentral lists this ribosomal RNA (467 nucleotides) under uncultured bacterium. RNAcentral's name for it is "partial 16S ribosomal RNA". It matches the Rfam family "Bacterial small subunit ribosomal RNA", at positions 28 to 506 of the family's 1533-position model. The record is from RNAcentral.
GACGAACGCUGGCGGCGUGCUUAACACAUGCAAGUCGAACGGAAAGGCCCUGCUUUUGUGGGGUGCUCGAGUGGCGAACGGGUGAGUAACACGUGAGUAACCUGCCCUUGACUUUGGGAUAACUUCAGGAAACUGGGGCUAAUACCGGAUAGGAGCUCCUGCUGCAUGGUGGGGGUUGGAAAGUUUCGGCGGUUGGGGAUGGACUCGCGGCUUAUCAGCUUGUUGGUGGGGUAGUGGCUUACCAAGGCUUUGACGGGUAGCCGGCCUGAGAGGGUGACCGGCCACAUGGGGAAGGGGAUACGGCCCAGACUCAUACGGGAGGCAGCAGGGGGGAAUAUGGCACAAGGGGCGGAAGCCUGAUGCAGCAACGCCGCGUGCGGGAGGACGGCCUUCGGGUUGUAAACCGCUUUCGCCUGUGACGAAGCGUGAGUGACGGUAAUGGGUAAAGAAGCACCGGCUAACUACGU